Molecule: ribosomal RNA, 1104 nt
Filed under: Triticum aestivum (bread wheat)
Lineage: Eukaryota; Viridiplantae; Streptophyta; Magnoliopsida; Poales; Poaceae
Description: partial small subunit ribosomal RNA
Source: RNAcentral
AUGGGCUUCAUCCACAGAAGCAUGGACAUGCUGACAAAGGGCAAAAUCCGACACAACAUAGGCAUCGAUAUCAAAGACAUCAAGAGCCGCAUCAAGGAGGUCAGUGAGCGGCGUGAAAGGUACAAGGUUGACAGUGUUGUGCCCAAGCCCACCAGCACAAGUACUGAUACCCUUCGCCAGUUAGCUUUGUUCAAAAAGGUGACAGAGCUUAUUGGCACCGAAGGGAGGAGCCUUGACAUAGUCAGGAUGGUAAUGGAGGGAGACGAGAUGAUAAAGAAACAACUGAAGCUGGUCUCUAUUGUUGGCUUUGGAGGCUUAGGGAAGACAACUAUUGCUAAUGUGGUGUAUGAGAAGCUUCGUGGGGACUUCGAUUGUCGAGCUUUUGUUUCCGUCUCUCUUAAUCUUGACAUGAAGAAACUUUUCACGAGUUUGCUCCAUCAACUUGGCAAGGGAAAGUACAAUAACAUCAUGGACGAGUCAGCGUGGAGCGAGACACAACUCAUAAGUGAGAUAAGAGAAUUCCUCCGAAACAAGAGGUAUUUCAUUGUUAUUGACGACAUAUGGGAUAAAUCUGCAUGGAGAAGUAUUAGAUGUGCUUUGACUGAGAAUGGAUGUGGUAGUAGAGUAAUCAUAACAACUCGCAUUCUGGAUGUUGGCAAAGAAGUUAGUGAUGUUUAUCAGCUUAAACCACUUUCUGCUAGUGACUCAAGAAUAUUAUUCUACCAAAGAAUAUUUGGAACUGGAGACAAGUGUCCUCCUGUUCAGUUGGCUGAAAUAAGUGAGAGCAUUUUACGGAAAUGUGGUGGGGUACCAUUAGCUAUCAUUACAAUGGCUAGUGUGUUGGCUAGUAAAAAGGAACAUCAAAAUACAUACACGUAUUGGUCAAAGGUGUACCAAUAUAUGGGUUCUGGGCUAGAAAAUAAUCCUGACCUGAUGGACAUGAGAAGGAUACUAUACAUCAGUUACUAUGAUCUAUCUCCAAAGAUUAAGGCUUGUUUACUGUAUCUCAGUUUGUAUCCAGAGAAUUAUGAUAUUAAAACCAAAGAGUUGAUAUGGAAGUGGAUAGGUGAAGGAUUUGUUCGUGAAGAGCAAGGGAAGAGCUAG